AAAAUCUGCAGGGAAAUUUUGUUCCUUAGCACUGGCAGAAAUUAGGAAUAAAUUCAAUUGCAUUCUGCACAAUAGCUGGAAGCGAUUGAGGUUAAGUGGCCUCGCUCUCUGAUGUGUUAGUAUUACUGAGCACUCUCUGCCCAUGUGACUCCGUGCAAUCUGCUCUUGGAACACGUCGCCAUGGCAACUGAUGAUUUCUAUUACAGUACAUUCAAGUUCACAUUCUAGGCCUGUCAUAUGCUUGGAAAUUUCCAGUUAAAAUAUUUAUUUAUGAAAAAGGCAAAAAAAAAAAAAGCCACCCCCCCCAGACUCUUCUCAAGGAUAGAAAACAAAAAGGUAGACCCCAAUGCAGAAUGAUUUAACUGCAGACGGAAAGAGAUUAUUACAUUUUCACUUAGCUGUUGCCACCAAACAAAAAACUCCCCAUGGGGUGGGCCAACUUAGUUGCAGAGGGGGCAAGUUGGAAUCUUACCUACUGUGGUUUGUGUGCAGGUGUGAUGUCUGAGUGCAAAGCGAAAGAGUCUAAGAAUCAAAGUUUCCACUUCUCUGAGGCUCAUCGUUCCAGCUGCAGCUUCCCACUAAGGAUACCUUUGAGAUAUGCCAGUGAAUGUACCUGUAACCAGAACAGGUCUGGUUUAAAAUAUGGGCUCAUAAAAGACAGCAAGUGACUCCAGAGAAGCUUCUGUUUAUAACAUAAUUGGUAAGAAUCAUUUCUUUUAUCUAUGAUUAUAGACAUUUAUUUAACUAAACCUACUACAAACGGCUAU
This 767-nucleotide long non-coding RNA is filed under the name Mustela putorius furo (domestic ferret). Its description in RNAcentral is "lncRNA (ENSMPUG00000025711.1)". The record is from RNAcentral. Lineage: Eukaryota; Metazoa; Chordata; Mammalia; Carnivora; Mustelidae.